CCUACGGGAGGCAGCAGUGGGGAAUAUUGCACAAUGGGCGAAAGCCUGAUGCAGCAACGCCGCGUGAGCGAUGAAGGCCUUCGGGUCGUAAAGCUCUGUCCUCAAGGAAGAUAAUGACGGUACUUGAGGAGGAAGCCCCGGCUAACUACGUGCCAGAAGCCGCGGUAAUACGUAGGGGGCUAGCGUUAUCCGGAAUUACUGGGCGUAAGGGGUGCGUAGGUGGUUUCUUAAGUCAGAGGUGAAAGGCUACGGCUCAACCGUAGUAAGCCUUUGAAACUGGGGAACUUGAGUGCAGGAGAGGAGAGUGGAAUUCCUAGUGUAGCGGUGAAAUGCGUAGAGAUUAGGAGGAACACCAGUUGCGAAGGCAGCUUACCAAUCUAUAUCUGACGUUGAGGCACGAAAGCGUGGGGAGCAAACAGGAUUAGAUACCCGGGUAGUC
Molecule: ribosomal RNA, 439 nt
Filed under: uncultured bacterium
Lineage: Bacteria
Description: partial 16S ribosomal RNA
Rfam family: Bacterial small subunit ribosomal RNA
Source: RNAcentral